CCCGCGCGCUGCUUCCGUGCCCCUGGCACCCCCUGUUAACCGGCUCCUCUCCUCGGCCCCGGGAUCCUGUACUCCUGCCUCUGGGGUUUCUGGCGAGGAGAAGCCGGGAUGCGUGGGGCGAGGAAGGGGACCGGCAGUGGUCUUCCUCGUCCGGGAAAAUCCGCCGUCCUCGUUGUGUUUCGUGGGGGAGAGGGGGAGGAACCAUCCCAUGACUCCUGGAAGGACGGGGCAGCAGGGCAGGUCCGCCGGGAUUAAGUAGUGUCCCUGGUUCCUGGUGUUAGGAUCCGGAGCGAAGCAGGGAUGGGGUAUGGACCGGGCGCGCCAAGGGCCUCUGAAAUAGGAAAGAAACGGCACUGUUUGGUGUGGAGUGUGUGUGCGUGUGUGUGUGUGUGUGUGCGCGCGCGGGCGCACUCACGUGUGUGUGUUGUGUGUACAACUUAGUAUCUAUUGUGGCCAUGCAAGUGGAGUGCAGGGCAAUAAAGUCAUUUGCCCCAUGAACACUUAGGUGAAGUAACUCAGCAGCACCGAGACCGUGAUCCAGAAGCCCUUCUGGGGCGUUAGAACGGUUCGUUGCUCCAUUCACAUUGGCUCAGUUUCUAAAGUUGAGUGUGUGUCUGUGUGUUCGUGGUGAUGAGGUGUGGAAUUGUAUUUUUUUUUUUUUUAAGAGAGAGUGAAAUAUCUCUUCUCAUUUUGGUUGUAUUAGAAUCAUUCCUACGUGAAUGCAGUAUUCACAGACGCAUCAAAAUAAGGAGGAAAUUCCUUUGCAAAAAUGACCCAAAGUAGGACUACAGAUGCACAACUGUUCUUUGUGCAGGGAUGGCUCCUCAUGUAAAAAACAGUGAAUUCAAAUUCAUUCAAAAGAACUAUGCUUUGUAUUAAGGGGUUUCUGUUGACAUUUUCAAAAAUUAAGACCUUCUGCUGAAAUAUCAGAGUAUCUCCCCAAUGUGUGAAGUUUAGGUGUAACUCCAAGCUUUACGUUUAGAUUGCAUGUUCUCAAAACAAGUUUUGUAAAGCUUACAAUUCAAAUGAUAGCCGUAAAUGUGUAAUGAAUAAAAAAAAACAUUCAUAUGUGCAUACUAAGUUCAGGUUCCCUGUUUUAAAUCACAAAGUGUGGAUUCUCCCUGUAAAUGUAAAAUUGUCAUGCAGGGAAGAAUGUAAAAAUAAUUGUCCACACAUUCUGACUGGUGUCUUUACCAAUUAGUGUGAAGGAGCCAAUUCAACCAUUCCAUGAUUAUUUUGUCUUGCUUUUCUCCAGUGUUACAGUAUUUUUAUAAAUGGUUCUUUAUUAUAAGGAGACAACCCUCCCCCAUAAUUCCAAAAGAAAGAUUUACAUAUUUUUGCAGAACUGAAACGCACAUGUGGAUAAUAUAGGAAAAUAGGAAUGUCUCAAAAUAGGAAAAAGUAAUACCAUGAUGUGACGGCUUUCUUGAUUUGUACUUCCAGAGUGCAACUUUAGAAAGUUGAAGAAAUGGAGACACUAGAUAGAAUGGUUGGUCACAGGUGGGACUAGAAUGCAGGUAAGUGUAAGCACAUUAUUUCCUUUAGCAGAGAUGCUCUUCUCUCUUGAAAAUCUAUUUGAAACUUUUGGUAUAUUUAAGCUAUCACAUUUUAUUUCAAAUUUUGCUUUACUGAAUGACUAGCUACAUACAAUAGUUGUAAUAGGAGAAGAAGCUGUGUAUUUAGUAGAGAUAUAAAUUCUGAUGAUAAAUGUUAUAAUCUGGUUUGAUCUUGGCAUGAGGUUUACUAAAGGAAAACUCUUAAACAUUAUUUUCUGUUCAGGUACAUACACAGAAAUAGAAAUAUCAUAUUCUCCUGCUAAAAGUUUUACUUUUAUUUUGGAAGGUUAUCAGAAGCGUUUUUGUCUGAACUACAGAUGAUGGCCCACACAGUUGGUCUGGUUUGAGGAUUUUAUUAAUUUCUAGAGAAUGCUCAAAUGAAAAUACCAGCCGGUGCUUCAUAGGUGUUCACUCCGUUUUUAAAAAUAUAGUCAUCAGGUGGGAAUGUAGGCACUGAAACAUUACUUCAGUUUGUAACCUAAGUCGUUAGUAGUCUUGAUAUUUUCAGUAUUUUUAAUUCAUUUUAUUUUUACCAUAUUCCCAUCUUCUGUUUUCACAGAGGCUGUAUAAUUGAUAAGCCUUCAAUUAUAUUCUAUAUAAGAAGUCAAAUAAAAUAUUUCAUAUUCCUCUAUGGUUAGGUGAUCUGAAUCAUGGCUUAAAUCAGAUGGACUGUCAGUUAGAGGACCUAGACUAUGGCUGGGAUCUCAAAUGCAUUUCACAAAUAUACUUGCAGUAACUAAAACCUUGAAAUUAAAAACAAAAACUGAGGAAGCAGUAAUCAGUUAUUAAAAUACUGCAUUUUUGGAAUUAGAUAUAUUCUUUAUAAUAAGACUGUGAUAGAUUGGUCUUUUCUCUUUGUCUUAUUAUUUACUUGAUCCAUGCUUUUGCCUCACAGCAAAGUAUGAUGGUCUAUCUGACUUUCUUUUUUUUAAAAGAUUUUAUUUAUUUAUUCAUUCAUGAGAGAUGGGGGGCGGGGGGCGGGGGCAGAUACAUAGGCAGAGAGAAAGAAACAGGCUCCAUGCAGGGAGCCCGAUGUGGGACUCAAUCCGGGAUUCCAGGAUCACACCCUGGGCUGAAGGCAGGCAUUCAACCGCUGAGCUACCCAGGCAUCCCAUCUAUCUGACUUUCUAUGAACUCUCUCUUGGAACUCAAAAUUCUGCAAAUGUCUGCAGAUAGCAAAAUGAACAAAUAGAUACUGGAGAUUUUUGUUAAUAGCUGCCUCCAGAUUAUGACAUACCUACCACCUUACAGUGUUUAUCAGUUUGAGGAACCUUUCUACAGUUAUAAAACCAGAAGAAUGAUGAUUGAUUUUGAGAGUUUUAUUUAUAUGGAGCUAAAUUUUAAAAAACCCCAUCAGCUCUAAGGUUCUAAUAAGACUUAGAGUCUCUGCAUAUAGUAACUAUCUAGAUCCACUUUAUUUAUUUUUUUCAUUUUUUGGGGGGAAGAGCUGCUAUUCCUGAUUUAAAAUGUUCAGUUACCCCUAUGUAGCAUUUGAAUGUUUUGGAGAUUCUAGUUAUGUUAGUGUCUAAACUGUGCUGCCUAGGAUGCUGCAUAAGCAUAGAAGGUACAUAAAGUUUUUGUUAAUAUGUAUAUCAGAGUUUUAGUUUGAAAACUAUGAUCAUUGAACAAGUGGUGCCUAGCUCAGUACCCUACUUCUUAUGCACUGAAUCAGGUCUUGUCAAAUGACUUCAGACAUUGCACAGUUCUCAACUAUGCCUCCCGAAGCAAUAAAUGGAGACAAAUUAUAUAUUUAUUUUGAGUUCAUUUUAUUAAGUUCUUAUUCUUUGUAAAUGGUUCUGUACGAUGACUGUAUGAUUAAUUGGAAUGCUUCCUUCUCCAGGCAUAUCAGGGAAUAUAGUAUGAGAGGGAGGUAUUAAUAAGGUGAUAUAAUUAGAUUGAGGGCAGUUUUGUUGGUUGGUCAUUUGGACUGGCAUUAUGCCGGUUGAGUUUAAAAGGCUAAAUCCUUUUCACCAUAACAUACUAGCUUGAGCUUGAAAGCUUUCUUUCAAUUUUUGUUAUAUUUCCCUAUAAACUGAUCAAUUUUUGACAGGUAAGACAAGAUAUGUUAAUCACUCAGGGUUGGAUGUAUUGGGUGAUAUAUAUAUUUAAAAUUAUUUAGAUUUGGACUUGAAGAGAAAAUGACUUGGCAAAUUCCAUGAAAAAACAAAACCAGAACCAGGAAAAAAACCCUCUUCCUUUGUUUACGUCUCAAUUUAUCAUUUUCUGUAAUGUUUUUGUAAUUCAGAAAUGCAGCCUUCUUCAGCAUAACCUCCUGCCCUCCUCCUGCCCUCCUCUGGCCCCCAAAAUGUCAUUGGAUUCUAUCCAGUGGGAAGAUAACACGGGCUAUGAGAAGUUAAAAAAAAUGUGGCACCAACUCUGCUGACUCCUUAUAUUCUCCUAAGUGGGCUUUAAGCCAUUCGUUGACAUUUGUUUUUAAACAUCCUGUAAGCUGUGCCAUUUUAUCAAAUUAAAUUAAAAGCACAAUAUAUUCUCUUACAAUGAUGGAACCUGAGUCAGGACUUCCAAGUUUGUGUUGUUAUUAAUAUUAUUUUGCUUUUUACAAAGGAAUUAAAAUUUUUUUCAUCACACCUGGCA
Canis lupus familiaris (dog) is the source of this 4151-nucleotide long non-coding RNA. RefSeq lists it as uncharacterized. The record is from RefSeq and is a predicted model, not a curated record. NCBI's taxonomy places the organism in Eukaryota, Metazoa, Chordata, Mammalia, Carnivora, Canidae. The transcript has 3 exons.